Salvia splendens (bonfire salvia) is the source of this 676-nucleotide long non-coding RNA. RefSeq lists it as uncharacterized. The record is from RefSeq and is a predicted model, not a curated record. NCBI's taxonomy places the organism in Eukaryota, Viridiplantae, Streptophyta, Magnoliopsida, Lamiales, Lamiaceae. The transcript has 2 exons.
UCUAAUACAUAUACCUGGUCUAUUUCCUAUUUGUCAUAACUUGAGAUUUUAGUGAUGUUUGUCAAAUGUACCUGAUUAUUGGUUGAUUUGUCAAACGCUAAGUGAUCAUUCUUCUUUCUUACUUAUUCUAAUUUGAGUUGAAAGAAUAAAAAGGCAAUCCGAACUAUUAGUUGAUAUGUGUUCAAGAAUUACAAUAUAUGCUAUGUACGUUCAAGAAUUAUUGGGAAAAAUUAGUGUUCUGUACGAUUUGUUCAUAAAAGAGAUAGUGAAACUACCUCUUAAUUUGUUUUCUGAUUUAUCUUCUGUUAUGUAAAAAAAUAUUAAUAUGGUGUUAUGCAGGUUGAGAAGCCGUCGCAAGUUUUAUGCUGAACAAGUCUGUCCCUUUUCUCUCAGACUCUUUGAAUACGAGAUGAACUCCGCCAAGAAUUGUGGCGCGAAAUGCAUCAAGAACUACGCGACCAAAAACGGGAGAUGGAAGAAAUAAUGAAGUAGUUUAUGAUGUCCAAGCAACCCAACAAUCAAGUCACAAUCCUGAUUAUGACGAUGAGAGUUGAUAUAUCUCAUGAACUCAUUUUGAAAACUCAGACACUUUAUGUUUAUUUUGGCUUCGUAUGUUGGAUUGUAUAUUUUGAUUAAUACUUUUGAGGUUUAUCAAUGAUGAUUUUCACUUUGGUCA